CAGUCGCCGCGGUAAUACGUAGGGUGCGAGCGUUGUCCGGAAUUACUGGGCGUAAAGAGCUCGUAGGCGGUUUGUCGCGUCGUCUGUGAAAUUCUGCAGCUUAACUGUAGGCGUGCAGGCGAUACGGGCAGACUUGAGUACUACAGGGGAGACUGGAAUUCCUGGUGUAGCGGUGAAAUGCGCAGAUAUCAGGAGGAACACCGGUGGCGAAGGCGGGUCUCUGGGUAGUAACUGACGCUGAGGAGCGAAAGCGUGGGUAGCGAACAGGAUUAGAUACCCCUGUAGUCCCUGUCUCUUAUAC
This 301-nucleotide ribosomal RNA is filed under the name uncultured bacterium. Its description in RNAcentral is "partial 16S ribosomal RNA". It matches the Rfam family "Bacterial small subunit ribosomal RNA", at positions 509 to 807 of the family's 1533-position model. The record is from RNAcentral.